This 342-nucleotide unclassified non-coding RNA is filed under the name Zea mays. RNAcentral describes it as "misc RNA Zm00001eb018390". The record is from RNAcentral. Lineage: Eukaryota; Viridiplantae; Streptophyta; Magnoliopsida; Poales; Poaceae.
GCGGCCUACCAGCUCCAGCUCGCCACCUCUCGCCGUAAGCCUACCUGUGUGUUGCUCCUGCCGUCCUGCAGCUCUAGUGUCGUGUGUCCUGCUCCGCUCCUCCGCUCAUACAUGCUACUCCACCUCCACCGCUCCAUGUCCACCUGCCAGUCAAGUGCCGACUUGCGUGUUGCUUGCUUGCUCCUGCCUGUGUGCUGCAGGAACUUCGGUGAAGCCGGACAAGACUGCAGAACAGCACGAUCCAGGUGGGGCAAGAGGAUUUUGGUGAAGCCAAUAGUGAAGAAUAGCGCCAACAUCAGAGGAUAUGGGGGCGGGCAACAGGGUUUUGGUGACUUUGUUUUG